UCCCUGGUGGUCUAGCGGCUAGGACUCUGAGCUCUCAUUGCAGACAGUCUGGGUUCGAUCCCUGGUCAGGGAA
RNAcentral lists this transfer RNA (73 nucleotides) under Ovis aries (sheep). It matches the Rfam family "tRNA". From Rfam's summary of the family: Transfer RNA (tRNA) molecules are approximately 80 nucleotides in length. Their secondary structure includes four short double-helical elements and three loops (D, anti-codon, and T loops). Further hydrogen bonds mediate the characteristic L-shaped molecular structure. tRNAs have two regions of fundamental functional importance: the anti-codon, which is responsible for specific mRNA codon recognition, and the 3' end, to which the tRNAs corresponding amino acid is attached (by aminoacyl-tRNA synthetases). tRNAs cope with the degeneracy of the genetic code in two manners: having more than one tRNA (with a specific anti-codon) for a particular amino acid; and 'wobble' base-pairing, i.e. permitting non-standard base-pairing at the 3rd anti-codon position. The record is from Rfam by way of RNAcentral. Lineage: Eukaryota; Metazoa; Chordata; Mammalia; Artiodactyla; Bovidae.